ACGUAUAAGUUUGCACUAAAACAGUGACAAUUAUUUAGGAACGGAUGGAGUAUAUUGAAGGAAGUGCUGAACAAAGAGUCACCCAAUCAUGACCCUGACUCCCUACAGUCAAAUCUCUUCUUGUGGCUACCUGUGUGGCGAGUUUGCAAUACCACCGACCCUUAACAUUGGGGCCAACCAUUCAUAAACGGCAUCAAACUAGGCAAAGAAACAUAUUUGGGUUUUUUAUAUUGAUAACUCAAAAGUUUGUGAUCUUUAGAGAGAGAGAGAGAAAAUCUGUGGACUGUGAUAACUACGUAAUCGUUCUGAACUAGUGAUUUUUGUAAUUAUACACAACGAAAAUUGAAUACCAAAGGAGAAAAAGGUUAGAAAAAAAAAGAAGAAGCAACAUGAAGUAACCAACAACGCAUAUGGCAACGUUGGUGACGGGGAACAAGGUUUGGUGAUGGGGAACAAGGUUUUGUUCACAUCAGUAGCAAAUUAGGAACCCUUCAUUAGAUCAUAUAAGAGUUACACAUGCACU
RNAcentral lists this long non-coding RNA (523 nucleotides) under Brachypodium distachyon (stiff brome). RNAcentral describes it as "long non-coding RNA (BDIS_LNC000629)". The record is from RNAcentral. Lineage: Eukaryota; Viridiplantae; Streptophyta; Magnoliopsida; Poales; Poaceae.